AGGACGAACGCUGGCGGCGUGCCUAACACAUGCAAGUUGAGCGACGAACCAGGGCUUGCCCUGGGGCAAAGCAGCGAACGGGUGAGUAACACGUGGGUAACGUGCCCCCGAUAACCGGGACAACCCGAGGAAACUCGGGCUAAUACCGGAUGUGCCCAUCAGACAUCAGUCUGAUGUGUAAAGGAGCUUCGGCCUCCGUAUCGGGAGCGGCCCGCGGCCCAUUAGCUAGUUGGUGAGGUAACGGCUCACCAAGGCAACGAUGGGUAGCUGGUCUGAGAGGACGAUCAGCCACACUGGGACUGAGACACGGCCCAGACCUCCGUACGGGAGCAGCAGUGGGAAUCUGCGCAAUGCGCGAAAGCGUGACGCAGCGAACGCCGGCGGUGGGGGAACGAAGGUCCGUUCGGUUACGUAACCCCGUUUGAACGGAGGACGAAGGUGCGA
RNAcentral lists this ribosomal RNA (444 nucleotides) under uncultured soil bacterium. Its description in RNAcentral is "bacterial SSU rRNA". It matches the Rfam family "Bacterial small subunit ribosomal RNA", at positions 26 to 456 of the family's 1533-position model. The record is from RNAcentral.